ACUGUUACAGCAUUUGGAAGCCUUUGGAGAGUCUGGGAUGCUGAGACUCAACCCAUGAGCUGCCAGUGCCUGCAGAGGAGGAUCAGCUGUCUGCAGCUCUGCAGCCUCCUCGUGAUGCAGAAGAUUGAGGAGUUUAUGCAAAAUCAGGUGCUUAACCAUAUGCAAGGCAGGACGAAGGUACAGCUUUUGGAGGACAGAGAAGACAUUUAUAUUCAGAAUCAGCUCCUAAAGUGUACUGUGGCCUACAUCUGUGAAUGUAAAGUAAGGAAAUGGAAUGUGCUGGCCUAA
Molecule: long non-coding RNA, 288 nt
Filed under: Taeniopygia guttata (zebra finch)
Lineage: Eukaryota; Metazoa; Chordata; Aves; Passeriformes; Estrildidae
Description: lncRNA (ENSTGUG00000025102.1)
Source: RNAcentral